UGUGAAUACCACUUUGAAGAGGAACAAAUGGUGUUUUAAGAAUGCUGGCGUGGUAUGAAGACACAACCAUUUCUAAAAGUGGCAAAAUAAGGAAAUGAGAGGAAGAAAAGUCUUCUGACUUUUGUCUUCUGACAUUCAGAGAGAGCCUGUGGCAAGACUGGGGUGAGAACUGAGCUGCAGAUGCCAAAUCUAAGCCCUGUGUUUUAUGCGUUGAUCAGCACUGCUCAAGUCCCAAAGAAUGCUUGAAUACUUCUGCCCCAGUCCAGAAGUGUUGUCAUUCUGUGCAUACAACAGAAAUCUCCAGAGCAUGGGCACUGAACUUCCAUGUAAUACUUCUCUUUGUUUUGCCACUAGCCUUUAUGUGUGCCUGAAACUACUGUGGAUUCAGUGUGCAGACAGUGGAAUCCUGCCACCCAAAACAUAAUGGAAAAAGAGCAGAAUUUGCCCUUUAGUCAGUCCCUGACUGUACAACAUUGUUCCCAUAGACACCAUUCUGCUCUUUCCCCAUUGUAUCCAUAUUGUCACAAGUGAUAAGUGAAAAGCAUUCUUUUGUACAGAUGAAAAGAUUUAUUUCCCAAGCCUCCUUUCAGAUCUGAUUGUACAAUUUUCAUUGUAGAUGUGAUUACUGUGUAAAUACAAGAACUCUUCAUUCUAGAUUUUUGAUAGAAACAACCAUUACUC
Molecule: long non-coding RNA, 681 nt
Organism: Gallus gallus (chicken)
Lineage: Eukaryota; Metazoa; Chordata; Aves; Galliformes; Phasianidae
Source: Ensembl